GAUGAACGCUGGCGGCGUGCCUAAUACAUGCAAGUCGAGCGAACGGACGAGAAGCUUGCUUCUCUGAUGUUAGCGGCGGACGGGUGAGUAACACGUGGAUAACCUACCUAUAAGACUGGGAUAACUUCGGGAAACCGGAGCUAAUACCGGAUAAUAUUUUGAACCGCAUGGUUCAAAAGUGAAAGACGGUCUUGCUGUCACUUAUAGAUGGAUCCGCGCUGCAUUAGCUAGUUGGUAAGGUAACGGCUUACCAAGGCAACGAUGCAUAGCCGACCUGAGAGGGUGAUCGGCCACACUGGAGCUGAGACACGGUCCAGACUCCUACGGGAGGCAGCAGUAGGGAAUCUUCCGCAAUGGGCGAAAGCCUGACGGAGCAACGCCGCGUGAGUGAUGAAGGUCUUCGGAUCGUAAAACUCUGUUAUUAGGGAAGAACAUAUGUGUAAGUAACUGUGCACAUCUUGACGGUACCUAAUCAGAAAGCCACGGCUAACUACGUGCCAGCAGCCGCGGUAAUACGUAGGUGGCAAGCGUUAUCCGGAAUUAUUGGGCGUAAAGCGCGCGUAGGCGGUUUUUUAAGUCUGAUGUGAAAGCCCACGGCUCAACCGUGGAGGGUCAUUGGAAACUGGAAAACUUGAGUGCAGAAGAGGAAAGUGGAAUUCCAUGUGUAGCGGUGAAAUGCGCAGAGAUAUGGAGGAACACCAGUGGCGAAGGCGACUUUCUGGUCUGUAACUGACGCUGAUGUGCGAAAGCGUGGGGAUCAAACAGGAUUAGAUACCCUGGUAGUCCACGCCGUAAACGAUGAGUGCUAAGUGUUAGGGGGUUUCCGCCCCUUAGUGCUGCAGCUAACGCAUUAAGCACUCCGCCUGGGGAGUACGACCGCAAGGUUGAAACUCAAAGGAAUUGACGGGGACCCGCACAAGCGGUGGAGCAUGUGGUUUAAUUCGAAGCAACGCGAAGAACCUUACCAAAUCUUGACAUCCUUUGACAACUCUAGAGAUAGAGCUUUCCCCUUCGGGGGACAAAGUGACAGGUGGUGCAUGGUUGUCGUCAGCUCGUGUCGUGAGAUGUUGGGUUAAGUCCCGCAACGAGCGCAACCCUUAAGCUUAGUUGCCAUCAUUAAGUUGGGCACUCUAAGUUGACUGCCGGUGACAAACCGGAGGAAGGUGGGGAUGACGUCAAAUCAUCAUGCCCCUUAUGAUUUGGGCUACACACGUGCUACAAUGGACAAUACAAAGGGCAGCGAAACCGCGAGGUCAAGCAAAUCCCAUAAAGUUGUUCUCAGUUCGGAUUGUAGUCUGCAACUCGACUACAUGAAGCUGGAAUCGCUAGUAAUCGUAGAUCAGCAUGCUACGGUGAAUACGUUCCCGGGUCU
RNAcentral lists this ribosomal RNA (1372 nucleotides) under uncultured bacterium. RNAcentral's name for it is "bacterial SSU rRNA". It matches the Rfam family "Bacterial small subunit ribosomal RNA", at positions 28 to 1381 of the family's 1533-position model. The record is from RNAcentral.